Molecule: ribosomal RNA, 497 nt
Filed under: uncultured bacterium
Lineage: Bacteria
Description: partial 16S ribosomal RNA
Rfam family: Bacterial small subunit ribosomal RNA
Source: RNAcentral
GAUGAACGCUGGCGGCGUGCCUAAUACAUGCAAGUCGAGCGGACGGACGAGAAGCUUGCUUUUCUGAUGUUAGCGGCGGACGGGUGAGUAACACGUGGAUAACCUACCUAUAAGACUGGGAUAACUUCGGGAAACCGGAGCUAAUACCGGAUAAUAUUUUGAACCGCAUGGUUCAAAAGUGAAAGACGGUCUUGCUGUCACUUAUAGAUGGAUCCGCGCUGCAUUAGCUAGUUGGUAAGGUAACGGCUUACCAAGGCAACGAUGCAUAGCCGACCUGAGAGGGUGAUCGGCCACACUGGAACUGAGACACGGUCCAGACUCCUACGGGAGGCAGCAGUAGGGAAUCUUCCGCAAUGGGCGAAAGCCUGACGGAGCAACGCCGCGUGAGUGAUGAAGGUCUUCGGAUCGUAAAACUCUGUUAUUAGGGAAGAACAUAUGUGUAAGUAACUGUGCACAUCUUGACGGUACCUAAUCAGAAAGCCACGGCCAACUACGUG